GGGUCCAACCUCCCACCCGUGUUUAUUUUACCUUGUUGCUUCGGCGGGCCCGCCUUAACUGGCCGCCGGGGGGCUUACGCCCCCGGGCCCGCGCCCGCCGAAGACACCCUCGAACUCUGUCUGAAGAUUGAAGUCUGAGUGAAAAUAUAAAUUAUUUAAAACUUUCAACAACGGAUCUCUUGGUUCCGGCAUCGAUGAAGAACGCAGCGAAAUGCGAUACGUAAUGUGAAUUGCAAAUUCAGUGAAUCAUCGAGUCUUUGAACGCACAUUGCGCCCCCUGGUAUUCCGGGGGGCAUGCCUGUCCGAGCGUCAUUGCUGCCCUCAAGCCCGGCUUGUGUGUUGGGCCCCGUCCCCCGAUCUCCGGGGGACGGGCCCGAAAGGCAGCGGCGGCACCGCGUCCGGUCCUCGAGCGUAUGGGGCUUUGUCACCCGCUCUGUAGGCCCGGCCGGCGCUUGCCGAUCAACCCAAAUUUUUAUCCAGGUUGACCUCGGAUCAGGUAGGGAUACCCGCUGAACUUAAGCAUAUCAAUAAGCGGAGGAA
This 540-nucleotide ribosomal RNA is filed under the name Penicillium commune. Its description in RNAcentral is "eukaryotic LSU rRNA". The stretch from base 160 to 312 matches the Rfam family "5.8S ribosomal RNA". Lineage: Eukaryota; Fungi; Ascomycota; Eurotiomycetes; Eurotiales; Aspergillaceae. RNAcentral also lists the same sequence under 1 other name. The record is from RNAcentral.